RNAcentral lists this ribosomal RNA (484 nucleotides) under uncultured bacterium. RNAcentral describes it as "partial 16S ribosomal RNA". It matches the Rfam family "Bacterial small subunit ribosomal RNA", at positions 28 to 507 of the family's 1533-position model. The record is from RNAcentral.
AUUGAACGCUGGCGGCAUGCUUUACACAUGCAAGUCGAACGGCAGCGCGGGCUUCGGCCUGGCGGCGAGUGGCGAACGGGUGAGUAAUGCAUCGGAACGUGCCCAGUAGUGGGGGAUAGCCCGGCGAAAGCCGGAUUAAUACCGCAUACGACCUGAGGGUGAAAGCGGGGGACCGAAAGGCCUCGCGCUAUUGGAGCGGCCGAUGUCGGAUUAGCUAGUUGGUGGGGUAAAGGCUUACCAAGGCGACGAUCCGUAGCUGGUCUGAGAGGACGACCAGCCACACUGGGACUGAGACACGGCCCAGACUCCUACGGGAGGCAGCAGUGGGGAAUUUUGGACAAUGGGGGCAACCCUGAUCCAGCCAUGCCGCGUGCGGGAAGAAGGCCUUCGGGUUGUAAACCGCUUUUGUUCGGGAAGAAAUCCUCUGGGCUAAUACCCCGGGGGGAUGACGGUACCGGAAGAAUGGGCACCGGCUAACUACGUG